CGCGUAGGCGGCUUGAUAAGUCAAAGGUGAAAUCCCUCGGCUCAACUGAGGAACUGCCUUUGAAACUGUCAGACUUGAGGCCGGGAGGGGGUAGCGGAAUUCCCAGUGUAGCGGUGAAAUGCGUAGAUACUGGGAGGAACACCGGUGGCGAAGGCGGCUACCUGGACCGGUUCUGACGCUGAUGCGCGAAAGCGUGGGUAGCAAACA
RNAcentral lists this ribosomal RNA (207 nucleotides) under uncultured bacterium. RNAcentral describes it as "partial 16S ribosomal RNA". It matches the Rfam family "Bacterial small subunit ribosomal RNA", at positions 568 to 774 of the family's 1533-position model. The record is from RNAcentral.